RNAcentral lists this ribosomal RNA (372 nucleotides) under uncultured bacterium. RNAcentral's name for it is "bacterial SSU rRNA". It matches the Rfam family "Bacterial small subunit ribosomal RNA", at positions 524 to 898 of the family's 1533-position model. The record is from RNAcentral.
GACGAAGGAUGCAAGCGUUAUCCGGAUUCAUUGGGUUUAAAGGGUGCGUAGGCGGUUUAUUAAGUCAGUGGUGAAAGCCGGUCGCUUAACGAUCGAAUUGCCAUUGAUACUGGUAGACUUGAGUACAGAUGCUGUGGGCGGAAUAUGACAUGUAGUGGUGAAAUACAUAGAGAUGUCAUAGAACACCGAUUGCGAAGGCAGCUCACAAAACUGUAACUGACGCUGAGGCACGAAAGUGUGGGGAUCAAACAGGAUUAGAUACCCUGGUAGUCCACACUGUAAACGAUGAUUACUCGCUGCUGGGGGGCAACCUCCAGUGGCUUAGUGAAAACGAUAAGUAAUCCACCUGGGGAGUACGCCGGCAACGGUGAA